RNAcentral lists this long non-coding RNA (202 nucleotides) under Solanum tuberosum (potato). RNAcentral's name for it is "long non-coding RNA (STUB_LNC005607)". Lineage: Eukaryota; Viridiplantae; Streptophyta; Magnoliopsida; Solanales; Solanaceae. The record is from RNAcentral.
UCCAAAUGUAGACAAGAAUAAAGACCAUGUCACCAAAGGCCCAAGCAAUACAAAGAACUCCAAAGUUAGCCACGUAUAUCACCUCCAACAUCUAAAUCAUUGCGUCCUCUCUUCAAAUUCCACCAACAGCUCAUCAUAAUCUUUUGCAAAAAACUUUGUUGGUCUCUUUGUUACAGCCUCAACUUCGUUAGUCAUAUUUGGC